UACACUCCUGCGGGAGGCAGCAGUGGGGAAUAUUGGACAAUGGGCGCAAGCCUGAUCCAGCCAUGCCGCGUGAGUGAUGAAGGCCCUAGGGUUGUAAAGCUCUUUCACCGGUGAAGAUAAUGACGGUAACCGGAGAAGAAGCCCCGGCUAACUUCGUGCCAGCAGCCGCGGUAAUACGAAGGGGGCUAGCGUUGUUCGGAUUUACUGGGCGUAAAGCGCACGUAGGCGGACUAUUAAGUCGGGGGUGACAUCCCGGGGCUCAACCCCGGAACUGCCUUUGAUACUGGUAGUCUUGAGUUCGAGAGAGGUGAGGGGAAUUCCGAGUGUAGAGGUGAAAUUCGUAGAUAUUCGGAGGAACACCAGUGGCGAAGGCGGCUCACUGGCUCGAUACUGACGCUGAGGUGCGAAAGCGUGGGGAGCAAACAGGAUUAGAAACCCGUGUAGUCCCAUGAU
This 453-nucleotide ribosomal RNA is filed under the name uncultured organism. Its description in RNAcentral is "partial 16S ribosomal RNA". It matches the Rfam family "Bacterial small subunit ribosomal RNA", at positions 332 to 801 of the family's 1533-position model. The record is from RNAcentral.